This 468-nucleotide ribosomal RNA is filed under the name uncultured bacterium. Its description in RNAcentral is "partial 16S ribosomal RNA". It matches the Rfam family "Bacterial small subunit ribosomal RNA", at positions 28 to 507 of the family's 1533-position model. The record is from RNAcentral.
GACGAACGCUGGCGGCGCGCCUAACACAUGCAAGUCGAACGGAGUCAAGAGGAGCUUGCUUUUCUUGAGUUAGUGGCGAACGGGUGAGUAACGCGUGAGUAACCUGCCCUGGAGUGGGGGACAACAGUUGGAAACGACUGCUAAUACCGCAUAAGCCCACGGAUCUGCAUGGAUCUGCGGGAAAAGGAUUUAUUCGCUCUAGGAUGGACUCGCGUCCAAUUAGCUAGUUGGUGAGGUAACGGCCCACCAAGGCGACGAUUGGUAGCCGGACUGAGAGGUUGAACGGCCACAUUGGGACUGAGACACGGCCCAGACUCCUACGGGAGGCAGCAGUGGGGGAUAUUGCACAAUGGGGGAAACCCUGAUGCAGCGACGCCGCGUGGAGGAAGAAGGUUUUCGGAUUGUAAACUCCUGUCGUUAGGGACGAUAAUGACGGUACCUAACAAGAAAGCACCAGCUAACUACGUG